This 57-nucleotide transfer RNA is filed under the name Calvia championorum. RNAcentral's name for it is "tRNA-Ser". Lineage: Eukaryota; Metazoa; Arthropoda; Insecta; Coleoptera; Coccinellidae. The record is from RNAcentral.
GAAAUAUUUCAAAUUUAAGCUUCUAACUUAAAAUUUAGCAUUUAUGUUAAUAUUUCU